RNAcentral lists this long non-coding RNA (271 nucleotides) under Amborella trichopoda. RNAcentral describes it as "long non-coding RNA (ATRI_LNC001196)". Lineage: Eukaryota; Viridiplantae; Streptophyta; Magnoliopsida; Amborellales; Amborellaceae. The record is from RNAcentral.
UCCCCUUUUAAUCAAGUUAUCAACCUUUAAAAUCCUAUUCAGAGAAGCAAACCAAAUGAAACAUUGUACCUUAUGUGGUAUAGGCCAUUUCCAAACAACAACAACAUUGGAGUUAGACCAUCUAAUCCUAUCUUGGAAUAAUAGAUUAUAACAAGAUUUCACCAAAAAAACAUAAAACAUCAUCACUUUCAAUCUCCCAUAUAAUCGCAUCCUCAGCAUCAGCAACAACAUAGGUGUUAUCCAGCAUUUCCAUAAGAGAGCACCAUUGAGA